Molecule: ribosomal RNA, 142 nt
Filed under: uncultured eukaryote
Lineage: Eukaryota
Description: partial 18S ribosomal RNA
Rfam family: Eukaryotic small subunit ribosomal RNA
Source: RNAcentral
UGGUGGAGUGAUUUGUCUGGUUAAUUCCGUUAACGAACGAGACCUCGACCUGCUAAAUAGUCCCACGAAUUCUUCGGGAUUCGUCGGCGACUUCUUAGAGGGACUAUCGGUGUGUAGCCGAUGGAAGUUCGAGGCAAUAACA